UGAGGAAUAUUGGUCAAUGGUCGGGAGACUGAACCAGCCAAGCCGCGUGAGGGAUGAAGGUGCAGAGCAUCGUAAACCUCUUUUGUCGGGGAAUAAAAAGCUCCACGUGUGGAGCGUUGCAUGUACCCGAAGAAAAAGCAUCGGCUAACUCCGUGCCAGCAGCCGCGGUAAUACGGAGGAUGCGAGCGUUAUCCGGAUUUAUUGGGUUUAAAGGGUGCGUAGGCGGACCUUUAAGUCAGCGGUAAAAGCCCGGGGCUCAACCCCGGCGAGCCGUUGAAACUGGGGGUCUUGAGUUGGCGAGAGGUAUGCGGAAUGCGCAGUGUAGCGGUGAAAUGCUUAGAUAUUGCGCAGAACUCCGAUUGCGAAGGCAGCAUACCGGCGCCACACUGACGCUGAGGCACGAAAGCGUGGGGAUCGAACAGG
Molecule: ribosomal RNA, 423 nt
Filed under: uncultured bacterium
Lineage: Bacteria
Description: bacterial SSU rRNA
Rfam family: Bacterial small subunit ribosomal RNA
Source: RNAcentral